AGGGCUGGAAAAGGCUUUUGCUGUCGUGUCCAGGUGGGAUCAGAGGCUGGAAACCCAACAAGGCACUUUCUCAUCCUGGAAAAGCACCGCAGGCCCCUGUUCCUCCCCGAGUGACAGCCCUGCCAAGGCACUGUCACACAUCCCCAGGCAGCAUCGGAGGAGCAGGGAGAGAUGGCAGUGAAUUUGCAUUAAAAAUGGUCACGUUGGCAUUUGCUUCGUGGUGAACAUCGCUGCUCUUCAAAGCAGCACACAUUUUCACAGGGAAGAGGAGAGGAAGGAGCACACUGUCCCAGAGGAGAAAACUCGAGGGAGCUCCAGUUUGAGAAAUCCCAGCGAGUUCAGGGGAUUAACACGUGGCCUUCCAGGCGGGGAUGUUGGAGGCAAAAUCCUUGGGAAAUGCCAGAGCUCUGCUAACAGGUUUGUAAAUGGAGGUGCUUUGCUUUAAAAGGGGAUAUUUAUUAGGUGUGCCGGUGGAAUGAAAACAAGCACAGAUGGGGGAUAAAUCUCCCUGAGCAGCAGUGCAGCACUCCCGGAUCGCUCAAUAA
Molecule: long non-coding RNA, 545 nt
Filed under: Cyanistes caeruleus (blue tit)
Lineage: Eukaryota; Metazoa; Chordata; Aves; Passeriformes; Paridae
Description: lncRNA (ENSCCEG00000013856.1)
Source: RNAcentral